CGCGCCUUUAAGCUUGAGUUUCCUAGAAAAGCGGUGCCGUCUCAUAGCGGCCGUAAAGCUUUGGUUUCCUAGGAAAGCGGUGCCGUCAUAUAGCGGCCGUAAUACAGCGGUGAAUGACGUUACCAGAACGUUGUCUAUGUAAACAAAAUGGGGCGGUUUCCUAGAGAGCGGUAACUGCCACCGUAAAGCUUUGGUUUCCUAGGAAAGCGGUGCCGUCACAUAGCGGCCGUAAUACAGCGGUGAAUGACGUCACUAGAACGUUGUCUAUGUAAACUAAAUGGGGCGGUUUCCUAGAGAGCGGUAAUGUCACCGUAACUUCAAAAAGCGGUGCCGCCAUUUGCAUGACGGCCGCCUUGUCGGUGUCAGACAGUCGACAGAUGGUUUGGUGAACGUUUUAUUGAAAGUGGUGAAGCUAUUUUAAUAAGAAUUUGUGUUUUUUUUUCGUGAUAACGAAAAAAAUGAGUUCCAACUCUUGGAGCAGCAGUGACGACGAAAUUUUAAUAGAUUUCGUUCGAAACCACGAAGCAAUAUAUAAUAUAAAAAGUAAAGACUAUAGAAAAAGUGAAUUAAAACAGAAUUGGUGGCGUGAAAUUGGAGAAAUAUUAAAUAAAACAGCUUUUGAUUGCUCCAAGAGAUGGUGUUACAUACGAGACUAUUAUAUUCGACGUAGAGGAAAACCAGGCACUGGUUCAAGCGGAGAGGCAGCAAAGAAAAGAUCUGAUCUCCUGUCAUUCUUGGACAGCCUUCCUUCAUCCCAAAGAGGCAGUAUUAUUUAUGUUGUAGAUGAAAACAUAGGAGAUAAUAGUGUGAAAAUGGAAAACACUGAUGAUAUCAGAGAAGAAAUACAAACCCCAGAAGACGGAACUAACAUAAUGGAAAAUACUCACAACAGCGAAGAAACACUAUCAAACACUCGGGUAAAAGAAGAUAUUCACAAAGAAAAUAAAGCUAAAAGCAGCGAUAAGAAACGGAAACAUAUACAUACACACAGUCAAGAACGUCUAAACCUACUUAAGAAAAUUGUUGAUCGGAAUUAUACUCAAAGUGGAUUAGAUGAAAACGAUCUGUUUUUUGGUUCAAUGGCAAAAAUAGUUAAGAGGCUGCCACCUUACGAACAAGUUCAAUUAAGAUUACAAAUAGGAUCGUUAGUUGGUAAUGCUGAAUUACGCCACAUUUCAAUCAAGUCACCUCAAGACUGUGCGUUAUCUCCAAAACUUGUUGUUUAAACCAAACUUGAUACAACAAUUUAAACCAAAAUUAAUAACUUUAAUGUAUUUUUUUUUAAAUAAUUAUCGGAAGUUG
Helicoverpa armigera (cotton bollworm) is the source of this 1302-nucleotide long non-coding RNA. RefSeq lists it as uncharacterized. The record is from RefSeq and is a predicted model, not a curated record. Lineage: Eukaryota; Metazoa; Arthropoda; Insecta; Lepidoptera; Noctuidae. The transcript has 2 exons.